GUCGUCGUGGCGGAGUGGUUAAGGCGACAGACUUGAAAUCUGUUGGGGUCUGCCCGCACAAGUUCGAAUCUUGUCGGCGACG
Ciona savignyi (Pacific transparent sea squirt) is the source of this 82-nucleotide non-coding RNA. The record is from Rfam. Lineage: Eukaryota; Metazoa; Chordata; Ascidiacea; Phlebobranchia; Cionidae.